RNAcentral lists this ribosomal RNA (253 nucleotides) under uncultured bacterium. RNAcentral's name for it is "partial 16S ribosomal RNA". It matches the Rfam family "Bacterial small subunit ribosomal RNA", at positions 524 to 776 of the family's 1533-position model. The record is from RNAcentral.
UACGUAGGGUGCGAGCGUUAAUCGGAAUUACUGGGCGUAAAGCGCGCGUAGGCGGCUUUGUAAGUUAGAGGUGAAAGCCCGGGGCUCAACCCCGGAACUGCCUUUAAGACUGCAUCGCUUGAAUCCGGGAGAGGUGAGUGGAAUUCCGAGUGUAGAGGUGAAAUUCGUAGAUAUUCGGAAGAACACCAGUGGCGAAGGCGGCUCACUGGACCGGCAUUGACGCUGAUGUGCGAAAGCGUGGGGAGCAAACAGG